UACGGAGGAUCCAAGCGUUAUCCGGAUUUAUUGGGUUUAAAGGGUGCGUAGGCGGAAUAGUAAGUCAGUGGUGAAAGCCUGUCGCUUAACGACAGAACUGCCAUUGAUACUGCUAAUCUUGAGUAUAAUUGAAGUGGGCGGAAUGUGUCGUGUAGCGGUGAAAUGCUUAGAUAUGACACAGAACACCAAUUGCGAAGGCAGCUCACUAAACUAUAACUGACGCUGAGGCACGAAAGCGUGGGGAUCAAACAGG
Molecule: ribosomal RNA, 253 nt
Filed under: uncultured bacterium
Lineage: Bacteria
Description: partial 16S ribosomal RNA
Rfam family: Bacterial small subunit ribosomal RNA
Source: RNAcentral